GACGUAGGGCGCGAGCGUUGUCCGGAUUUAUUGGGCGUAAAGAGCUCGUAGGCGGCUCGUUGCGUCGGCUGUGAAAACCCGCAGCUCAACUGUGGGCUUGCAGCUGAUACGGGCGGGCUGGGAUUCGGUAGGGGAGACUGGAAUUCCUGGUGUAGCGGUGAAAUGCGCAGAUAUCAGGAGGAACACCGGUGGCGAAGGCGGGUCACUGGGCCGCAACUGACGCUGAGGAGCGAAAGCAUGGGGAGCGAACAGG
This 253-nucleotide ribosomal RNA is filed under the name uncultured bacterium. RNAcentral describes it as "partial 16S ribosomal RNA". It matches the Rfam family "Bacterial small subunit ribosomal RNA", at positions 524 to 776 of the family's 1533-position model. The record is from RNAcentral.